CAGUAGCCGCGGGAAUGCGUAGGUGGCAAGCGUUGUCCGGAAUUAUUGGGCGUAAAGGGCUCGCAGGCGGUUUCUUAAGUCUGAUGUGAGAGCCCCCGGCUCAACCGGGGAGGGUCAUUGGAAACUGGGAAACUUGAGUGCAGAAGAGGAGAGUGGAAUUCCACGUGUAGCGGUGAAAUGCGUAGAGAUGUGGAGGAGCACCAGUGGCGAAGGCGACUCUCUGGUCUGUAACUGACGCUGAGGAGCGAAAGCGUGGGGAGCGAACAGGAUUAGAUACCCCCGUAGUCCCUGUCUCUUAUAC
This 301-nucleotide ribosomal RNA is filed under the name uncultured bacterium. RNAcentral describes it as "partial 16S ribosomal RNA". It matches the Rfam family "Bacterial small subunit ribosomal RNA", at positions 509 to 807 of the family's 1533-position model. The record is from RNAcentral.